This is a long non-coding RNA of Ornithodoros turicata, 863 nucleotides long. RefSeq lists it as uncharacterized. Lineage: Eukaryota; Metazoa; Arthropoda; Arachnida; Ixodida; Argasidae. The transcript has 7 exons. The record is from RefSeq and is a predicted model, not a curated record.
GCUAACCGACCAAAAGGUCUCGUGCUGCAUGCCCCCAAGUCAGCCAGAACCGGCAGCAUCGGCAGAGCUGCUUGUAGUCGCUCUCGUGUGCGCUGAAGUGGUUGCGGCAUCCUCUGGGUUCCGAUCCUACCGUUCUGUGAUAGGGGCUCAGCCGCCGGCUACCAAUAAGAAUGGGAGACGCAUCGCAAGUUUCUGAAGCGCCUGCGUCAGGCGUCGAGAGCUCGGCGGCCGGUUCAGCAGCUGGAGAUAAAGCGUAAGCAUUUGUUUGACCCUCAAAGUGUCAUUAAUGUAAAUCCCAGUGGUUGCGAUGUGGAAUACGUGAAGAAAUUCCGUAGUUGCUUGCAAUCGGCAGAACCAAAUCUGCUGAGAGGGGAGCGGGAGAAUUGAAUCGCCAUUUUGCCACCACUGGUACUGGUUUGGACUUUCUGCAUGGACUUGUACUUUCAACUUUUCAGCGGUGGUGGCGGUGGAGGUGGUGCCAUCAUAAUUGUGGUGGUGGUGGUUCUCCUCCUGGUAGCAGGUGGCGCUGCGUACUUUGUGCUGGGUGCUGGUAGUAAGUAUUUAGUGUUCCAUCUAAAUACUGCAAAAGCUGACUCCCUUUCCCUCCUACGACUCUCCCUACUCUAGAGGGCACGACGACUACUACUGAGGGAGGUGCUGAAGCCGCCGCCCCUGGUGGUGGUGGUGGCGGCGCUGGUCCUAGUGCUCCUCCUGCAGCUGAUACUCCAGGCAAGGAUACUCCCGCAGGCGGCCCACAGAAUGCGACGAACUCAUCAUCACUCCCUGGUGCACCGCCCCAACAUUUCCUCGCCGAUGAGCAAGAAUGAUCAGUGCCUUCAGUGAAUAAACGCAUGCACGCAUAA